GACGAACGCUGGCGGCGUGCUUAACACAUGCAAGUCGAACGGAAAGGCCCUGCUUUUGUUGGGUGCUCGAGUGGCUAACGGGUGAGUAACACGUGAGUACCCUGCCCUUGACUUUGGGAUAACUUCAGGAAACUGGGGCUAAUACCGGAUAGGACCUCCUGCUGCUUGGUGGGGGUUGGAAAGUUUCGGCGGUUGGGGAUGGACUCGCGGCUUAUCAGCUUGUUGGUGGGGUAGUGGCUUACCAAGGCUUUGACGGGUAGCCGGCCUGAGAGGGUGACCGGCCACAUUGGGACUGAGAUACGGCCCAGACUCCUACGGGAGGCAGCAGUGGGAAAGAUUGCAAAAUGGGCCGAAGCCUGAUGCAGCAACGCCGGGUGCGGGAUGACGGCCUUCGGGGUGUAAACCGCUUUAGACUGUGACGAAGAGUGAGUGACGGUAAUGUGUAAAGAAGCACCGGCUAACUACGUG
This 468-nucleotide ribosomal RNA is filed under the name uncultured bacterium. Its description in RNAcentral is "partial 16S ribosomal RNA". It matches the Rfam family "Bacterial small subunit ribosomal RNA", at positions 28 to 507 of the family's 1533-position model. The record is from RNAcentral.